CCUACGGGAGGCAGCAGUGGGGAAUAUUGCACAAUGGGGGAAACCCUGAUGCAGCGACGCCGCGUGAGCGAGGAAGUAUUUCGGUAUGUAAAGCUCUAUCAGCAGGGACGAAAAAAGACGGUACCUGACUAAGAAGCCCCGGCUAACUACGUGCCAGCAGCCGCGGUAAUACGAAGGGGGCAGGCGUUAUCCGGAUUUACUGGGUGUAAAGGGAGCGUAGACGGCAAGGCAAGCCAGAAGUGAAAGGGCAGGCCUCAACGCGGUACAUGCUUUUGGAACUGUGGUGCUAGAGUGCGGGUGAGGUAAGUGGAAUGCCUGGUGUAGCGGUGAAAUGCAUAGAUAUUAGGAGGAACACCAGUGGCGAAGGCGGCUUACUGAACUGUAACUGACGUUGAGGCUCGAAAGCGUGGGGAGCAAACAGGAUUAGAUACCCCAGUAGUC
RNAcentral lists this ribosomal RNA (441 nucleotides) under uncultured bacterium. Its description in RNAcentral is "partial 16S ribosomal RNA". It matches the Rfam family "Bacterial small subunit ribosomal RNA", at positions 338 to 795 of the family's 1533-position model. The record is from RNAcentral.